This is a long non-coding RNA of Cryptotermes secundus, 1446 nucleotides long. RefSeq lists it as uncharacterized. The record is from RefSeq and is a predicted model, not a curated record. Lineage: Eukaryota; Metazoa; Arthropoda; Insecta; Blattodea; Kalotermitidae. The transcript is spliced from 2 exons.
CACGUAGAAUACCAGACAAUGGACAAAGUCUGAAAACCCAGUAAUCCUCAGAAUAAUUUUUUAUUUAGAGGCAUGUAUACACUCCUGGCAGUGGAGAUUUCAUACAGCCUAUCCUACUUCACAUUUCCAACCUAUCAUUUCUAAGGCUACUGUUACACAUGAAAUUCAUUUAGAUCUCCCACGAUGGUAUAUGGAACCCUUGCUGCAACCGUCCAUGCUUCUGUAUCCAGGAAAUUAUGAACAUGACGUAUUAUCCAUUUGUUCAGUAGAGAGAGGAUGUGGUUUAAUAUCCUUAGUGUGACUCAUAAAUCUGAUGACAGAGUACAGCAACUGAGAUCUAGGAACCUGCAUGGUUUAGCAACAGUAUCAUGUACCAGAGGAAUCAUGAAAAAGAUAACACCAGUAAUAAAGACAGCAUGAAAGAUAACCUUAAUAAGAAAAGUAAAGGAGGCUGUAAAAUGAAAGUACAUGAAGAUAUACCAACUUCAAAUGUCACAAUGUCUUAUAUAAAUGAAAGGCAACUUGAAGUGACCAAUGUAUGCAGCAAGGUAUGACUACAAACUGUGGUCAAGGCAAAGCAGUGGACACAACUUUUUACAAUUAUAUGAUUAUUACAGCAGUUUUAUACUUCUUUAUACUUCAAGAUCACUUUAUUUGUAUGCUGCAGUUUAGGGCUUGUAAUUAUAAGACUGAAUGAAGUAUUUGGAAUCAUUUAAUAUCUCUCAGUAUUCUAAUUUAAAUGGCACACUGGCCUGAUAAUCAUGCAUAAUCUGGUACUCAGAGAGGUUGCUAUUGCACUUGGUACUCUUACUUUGGGCACUGUACAGAACUGGCCAGUCCAUCAUCACUACAAUAACAUUUAAAAGUUAAUAACAAUGGCAUGUUAAUACAAUUAUUGACUUUUUAGCCAUUGUCCAUUGCCCUAUUUUUAUUUAAAACAUUGUUUCAGAGACUGAGCUCUGCAUCCAUUCUCAGAUACUCGUAUAAAGCCUACUGAUUUAGGCCCAAAUGAGAGAGGUAUUGUUUUAAAUAAAAACAGGAUGGUGGAUUAUGUCCAAAAAGUCAAUAAUUGUAAUCACAUCAACAUCAUGGUGGAGACUGGCUCCAGCAGUGUAAUCUAGUACUCUAUGGAGAAUGAGAAUGGCAUUAUUUACUCAUUCCUUCUACUCCAUAGAUGAAUAUUUCAAUGUAAACAAACAGUAACUAGUAUCAAUUCUAUGCUAAAGUGUAUUCUCAAGCAUGUUACUGUAUCAUUUUGCUUCUUUUCAGACUGCUAUAUAUAUCCUACUAGCAUGGUAACAGUAAUACUUAUUAUAAUCUUACUUACUUUUUGAACAAAACUAUUAUUGUAUUGAUAUUAUGUAUUUGUACUUGACUUGUUCCAUAUCCUAUGGUGUCAAUCAGAACUUGGAUUUAUGGAACAUAAAUAAAUUUAAAUUCAACAUA